AGUGAACGCUGGCGGUAGGCCUAACACAUGCCAGUCGAACGGCAGCACAGUAAGAGCUUGCUCUUACGGGUGGCGAGUGGCGGACGGGUGAGGAAUUCAUCGGAAUCUACUUUUUCGUGGGGGAUAACGUAGGGAAACUUACGCUAAUACCGCAUACGACCUACGGGUGAAAGCAGGGGAUCUUCGGACCUUGCGCGAUUGAAUGAGCCGAUGUCGGAUUAGCUAGUUGGCGGGGUAAAGGCCCACCAAGGCGACGAUCCGUAGCUGGUCUGAGAGGAUGAUCAGCCACACUGGAACUGAGACACGGUCCAGACUCCUACGGGAGGCAGCAGUGGGGAAUAUUGGACAAUGGGCGCAAGCCUGAUCCAGCCAUACCGCGUGGGUGAAGAAGGCCUUCGGGUUGUAAAGCCCUUUUGUUGGGAAAGAAAAGCAGCAGGUUAAUACCCCGCUGUUCUGACGGUACCCAAAGAAUAAGCACCGGCUAACUUCGUG
RNAcentral lists this ribosomal RNA (492 nucleotides) under uncultured bacterium. RNAcentral describes it as "partial 16S ribosomal RNA". It matches the Rfam family "Bacterial small subunit ribosomal RNA", at positions 29 to 507 of the family's 1533-position model. The record is from RNAcentral.